RNAcentral lists this ribosomal RNA (421 nucleotides) under uncultured bacterium. Its description in RNAcentral is "bacterial SSU rRNA". It matches the Rfam family "Bacterial small subunit ribosomal RNA", at positions 355 to 774 of the family's 1533-position model. The record is from RNAcentral.
UGAGGAAUAUUGGUCAAUGGACGGAAGUCUGAACCAGCCAUGCCGCGUGAAGGAUGAAGGCGUUCUGCGUUGUAAACUUCUUUUAUCUGGGACGAAAACGGGAUUUUUAUCUCAAUUGACGGUACCAGAGGAAUAAGCACCGGCUAACUCCGUGCCAGCAGCCGCGGUAAUACGGAGGGUGCGAUCGUUAUCCGGAUUUACUGGGUUUAAAGGGUGCGUAGGUGGGCUUAUAAGUCAGUGGUGAAAUCUCCGAGCUUAACUUGGAAACUGCCGUUGAUACUAUAGGUCUUGAAUUAUCUGGAAGUAAGCGGAAUAUGUCAUGUAGCGGUGAAAUGCUUAGAUAUGACAUAGAACACCAAUUGCGAAGGCAGCUUACUACAUAUAAAUUGACGCUGAGGCACGAAAGCGUGGGGAUCAAACA